AACUGUGAUGGCUAUCUGACGAUCUCUGUCACCUGUCGAUUGCCAAGGUUAACGAGGCUAAUCUGAUUGGCCAGGCAGAUGUCCCCUCUCCCCUCCACCACUCUUUGUAUGUCCCUUCCAAAGCUGCUCGCUUGGUGGGAGAGGACAGCCUUCCCCAUACAGAGACGGCCCGUCCUUUGGCCAGGGGUACAGAGUGACCGCUCCCCCUGCUAGAGGUCAGCAAGCUCUCAGUGCGUCUGUCAAUGGGAAGGGCCCUGCACGUGAGACAAGGUAAACACUCCACACAGCAAUGAGGCAAAUCACAUAUGUAAUACUCACCACAU
Molecule: small nuclear RNA, 323 nt
Filed under: Sorex araneus (European shrew)
Lineage: Eukaryota; Metazoa; Chordata; Mammalia; Eulipotyphla; Soricidae
Description: 7SK RNA (ENSSARG00000017749.1)
Rfam family: 7SK RNA
About the family: 7SK was discovered as an abundant small nuclear RNA in the mid-70s but a possible function has only recently been suggested.
Source: RNAcentral